Molecule: non-coding RNA, 156 nt
Organism: Pseudomonas sp. G5(2012)
Lineage: Bacteria; Pseudomonadati; Pseudomonadota; Gammaproteobacteria; Pseudomonadales; Pseudomonadaceae
Source: Rfam
ACGCUGGCCUCAUGUUCGCUGGCGUAGCCGGCAGCAUGCCCAGGCAGUCGAGACCUUCGAGACUGCGGUGCGGUUCAUCGCACUGGUUGCUCUGUUGCUCCAGCGCAUGUCGUGCCAUCCACCCAACCCACAGGGGACAUCCUCCCUUGCGGGCGG